GAUGAACGCUAGCUACAGGCUUAACACAUGCAAGUCGAGGGGAAACGACAUCGAAAGCUUGCUUUUGGUGGGCGUCGACCGGCGCACGGGUGAGUAACGCGUAUCCAACCUGCCCACCACUUGGGGAUAACCUUGCGAAAGUAAGACUAAUACCCAAUGAUAUCCCACGAAGGCAUCCGAAUGGGAUUAAAGAUUUAUCGGUGAUGGAUGGGGAUGCGUCUGAUUAGCUUGUUGGCGGGGUAACGGCCCACCAAGGCUACGAUCAGUAGGGGUUCUGAGAGGAAGGUCCCCCACAUUGGAACUGAGACACGGUCCAAACUCCUACGGGAGGCAGCAGUGAGGAAUAUUGGUCAAUGGGCGAGAGCCUGAACCAGCCAAGUAGCGUGCAGGACGACGGCCCUAUGGGUUGUAAACUGCUUUUAUAAGGGAAUAAAGUGAGUCUCGUGAGACUUUUUGCAUGUACCUUAUGAAUAAGGACCGGCUAAUUCCGUG
Molecule: ribosomal RNA, 492 nt
Filed under: uncultured bacterium
Lineage: Bacteria
Description: bacterial SSU rRNA
Rfam family: Bacterial small subunit ribosomal RNA
Source: RNAcentral